UAAUACGGAGGAUGCAAGCGUUAUCCGGAUUUAUUGGGUUUAAAGGGUGCGCAGGCGGCUUGUUAAGCGGGAGGUGAAAUGCCGGCGCUCAACGUCGGAAGUGCCUCCCGAACUGGUGAGCUUGAAUGACUCUGCCGUGGGAGGAAUGUGUAGUGUAGCGGUGAAAUGCUUAGAGAUUACACAGAACACCGAUUGCGAAGGCAUCUCACGAAGGGUUGAUUGACGCUGAGGCACGAAAGCGUGGGGAUCAAACAGGAUUAGAUACCCUGGUAGUCCACGCAGUAAACGAUGAUGGCUAACCGCUGGGUAAUACUAUUCAGUGGCCAAGCGAAAGCGAUAAGCCAUCCACCUGGGGAGUACGACCGCAAGGUUGAAACUCAAAGGAAUUGACGGGGGCCCGCACAAGCGGAGGAACAUGUGGUUUAAUUCGAUGAUACGCGAGGAACCUUACCCGGGCUCGAACGGCAGAGGAACAAUCCAGAGAUGGUGCGGCCUUCGGGGCUUCUGUCGAGGUGCUGCAUGGUUGUCGUCAGCUCGUGCCGUGAGGUGUCGGCUCAAGUGCCAUAACGAGCGCAACCCUUGCCGUCAGUUACCAUCAAGUAGUGUUGGG
This 610-nucleotide ribosomal RNA is filed under the name uncultured bacterium. RNAcentral describes it as "bacterial SSU rRNA". It matches the Rfam family "Bacterial small subunit ribosomal RNA", at positions 521 to 1135 of the family's 1533-position model. The record is from RNAcentral.